AACGAACGCUGGCGGCAUGCUUAACACAUGCAAGUCGAACGAGACCUUCGGGUUUAGUGGCGCACGGGGGCGUAACGCGUGGGAACCUACCCUUAGGAUCGGCACAACACCCCGAAAUGGGUGCUAAUAACGGAUACUGAUAUCGGACAAAAGCUUUAUCGCCUUUGGCUGGGGCCGAGUUGGAUUGGCUAGUUGGUAGGGUAAAAGCCUACCAAGGCGACGAUCCAUAGCUGGACUGAGAGGAGGAUCAGCCACACUGGGACUGAGACACGGCCCAGACUCCGACGAGAGGCAGCAAUGGGGAAUAUUGGACAGUGAGCGAGAGCCUGAUACGGCAAUGCCGCGUUAGUGAUGAAGGCCUUAUGAUUGUAAAUCUCUUUUACCCGAGAUGAUAGUGACGGUACCGGGAGAAUAAGCUCCGGCUAACUCCGUG
RNAcentral lists this ribosomal RNA (433 nucleotides) under uncultured bacterium. Its description in RNAcentral is "partial 16S ribosomal RNA". It matches the Rfam family "Bacterial small subunit ribosomal RNA", at positions 29 to 507 of the family's 1533-position model. The record is from RNAcentral.